Molecule: ribosomal RNA, 198 nt
Filed under: uncultured bacterium
Lineage: Bacteria
Description: partial 16S ribosomal RNA
Rfam family: Bacterial small subunit ribosomal RNA
Source: RNAcentral
ACGCUCGACACCUACGGGAGGCAGCAGUGGGGAAUAUUGCACAAUGGAGGAAACUCUGAUGCAGCGAUGCCGCGUGAGGGAAGAAGGUUUUCGGAUUGUAAACCUCUGUCUUUGGGGACGAUAAUGACGGUACCCAAGGAGGAAGCUCCGGCUAACUACGUGCCAUCAGCCGCGGUAAUCUGAGCGGGCUGGCAAGGC